Molecule: long non-coding RNA, 1441 nt
Filed under: Pan troglodytes (chimpanzee)
Lineage: Eukaryota; Metazoa; Chordata; Mammalia; Primates; Hominidae
Description: lncRNA (ENSPTRG00000053719.1)
Source: RNAcentral
UGCAGAUGUCCCUGGGCCCCGCUCAUGAUUUCACCUUGACGAUUUUCUCGAGCAGUUUUCUACAAAACUGCUUCCAGAAGCUCUCAAACUGGCCUGGCUUGGAGCAGGACAGGUGACUGGGCUUCAACACCGACAACCCCUGGCUUGGAGCCGUUGUGUCUCCACAAAUGGAAAGAGAGCAGCAGCCUGGCUGUGGGAGGCAGGGGACACAGCGGGCGCUUGUCACUGUAUAAACAGGAAGCACAGCACUGAUGCUGGCAGCCCUUAUGUGGAAGGCAAAGGACCAGAGGGAAGAGGCCACACCACGGGCUUCCAAGACUUGACCUCCUAUGUGGAAAUCCUGUUUCCAAAUGGCUUCUGGGGGCACCAAAAGCCAGGCUGGGAGAUGCCCAGGAAGGGAGACACUCUGAAGCCACCUGAGCCCACAGCCCCACUCUGGAUGAGGAGGCGGCAGAGCCGUGUCUCUCUAUUGCCCAGAGAAGAGCCCCUUCUCCCACGGAAGCUGCUCUGCUCUCCACCCUGUACGCCAGCUCCCAACUGCUCUUCAAUAGCCCAGCCGCGAGCACGAGGAGGACGCGUUUGACGGGAGCCCACAUGUCACCCUCCCUCCCAGCCGGGCGAUGCCUCUCCUACAGCUUCCCUCCAACUGACUGUCCUAAUCAGGCUCCAGAGGGGAGGCUGAUUGGAGCUGCGGUGGGUGGAAGCCGGGAUAGACUGGAAGAAGGACUUCCCAGACUCCCAGGGAGACCCAGGAAGCAGGGGAGGGUGUGGGACCCACUACAGCACCUCCACCAACCCAGGAAGGUCUCCAGCCCUGCUCAGACCAUCACAGAUUCUCACCACUGAACACCCAGCCCUGUGCACCCCAGCCCUGCACCGCCCAGGCCAGCCCAGGUGGAGGCUGGAUCCCGGCCCACGGUGCUCACAGGCCCCCGCCCCGGGGAGCUGGGAAGGGCGUGCGGGCUGCGUGGCUGGGCUGUGUGGCCUCCCCUCCAAGCUGCCCAGGGACAGGGACGGCCAGAGGAGAGCAGCCCAGGGCCAGGAUCCCGCCCAGGCGGGAGGCAGGUGGCUGCGCAGGACACCCCCAUGGAGCUGUCCACCUCACCUGCCCUGUGGCUGGUCACACUGCACGGCCAAUGUCCCUUCACUUGUCGGGCCCCAGCUGGACCUGAGAUCCUGGGGACAAAGCCUGACAAAGGUAACUCAACUCUGAGUCUCUGGACCCCAGAACGGGGCCCAGCCCUGAGUGGGUGCCCCGGAGCUGAUGGAUCCUGACAGUCAUAACAGCCCACCUGUUCUCAGGCUCCAGAUCCAUGGCCCAGUUGGAUUAUCCCAACUACUCACUAAGGUGGGGUGACUAGUCCUCCAUCUCACAGCUGAGGACAUGGACGGCACACAGAGAGAUCCAUUACAGGGGCCAGAAGCAGACCCAGCAGCCUGG